GGUUUCUAUAGACAAUUUAUACCGCGAUGCGCAGACCUAACUCAAUCGCUAACUUGGCUUUUGCGGAAGGGAGCACGAUGGUCGUGGGGUGAAGCGCACGAACAGGCGCUUACCUCUCUCGCUAAAGCGAUUGCGGAAACUACCCGCUUGUAUCUCCCAGACUUGAACCGCCCAUUUGUACUUCAAACAGAUGCGAGCGAUUACGGCCUUGGUGCAGUCUUGUUACAAGAGCACCAUCCCAAGUAGCACAUCCUAUCGGGCCAGUCGCUGGAGCGAUCGGCGCUCCAGCGGCGGAAAUCGGCCGAUCUCCUUCUUCUUUGUAGGGGGUAAGAGUUGUCAGCCACAGUCAAGUGGGUUGCUACUCUUUAAUCCUCCCCGUCAGAAGCCGAUGUCAUGCCGAGCGACGAGUGGUGUGCGAAGAGAGCCGGCAGAGAGAACGACGAGGCGGAGAGACGGCGCGGUGGCGGUGACCAGGCUCCCAGAGCUCCCCAUAGAGCCCAUAGUUUGAGGUAAUUCAGGCAACGCUGGACAUGCAACCAAUGAAAAUAACUAUGAUGCCUACCAUUCGGCCAAUCAGGAGUCUCUCAGUUUGGCUCGCCUUUCGGCAGGGUACUGGCUACCAUCGGCUUUUACUUUUACUGGUUUUCAUGCCCGACGCUCAUUGUUCCAUAUUCCAGAACAACUAGGCAAAUUUUUGACAAAAUACACAUUUAUUUGAAACAUCGUACUGAUUCAAUAGUUUGACACAAAUAUUCACCGUGCGUACAGAGUCCAAAUCGUUGCGUUCGUUGACCUAGUUCGAACUCGAAAAACACACACACACUCUACUCCCAGGAGUGAAUGACGCUCACACGAGUGCAUGCGAUUUCACGGUGGGCAUCUCCUUUCGUUGGUUGCAGUGCGAAGGUUUCAACCAAGCGGGCAAUGCCUGUCGCACGAACACCGAAUCCUGUCUCCGUUGUGACUGCAUUUGAAAAUGCGACGGCGCUCACAAGUGUUCCUCAGGCGUCAGCCCACCACUGCAUUCCAGUUCUGAACUCGAGAGACUGUUCGUACGUAGGAUACUUGUGUCGGGAAACAUCACAACACGCGCUGGGUCACUCUGACACAGAGUUCGAGGUAACUCGUUACAAGUAUCUCGUUACUGUAACUAAGUUCCUUUUCUUGGUAACUUGUAACUUAACUCGGUACUUUUGGGCCGUGGUAACUUUAAGAGGAACUCGUUCCUUUUUUAGGUAACUUUGCCAAAGUAACUUAAGUUAAGUUCCAAGUUACUUUUAACUCGAUUUUCACUCACGUUCACAUAUUUUCUUGCUUUCUCUCCGGUUCCUUCAUGGCAUUUUCCCCAUAAAACGUGAUAUUCAAUCAAUUACAGUAUUUUAUUCAGGAAGUAAGAACCGCUGCCAUUGAAAUGACGCUGAACCAUUGUGCGCCCACAGGGGGAGUAAGAUGCAAAGCGUUCGAAUAGACCUCUACCAGAGAAACGUCAUCAUGGCAUAGACAGACUGAAACCGAAACAAAUCGGAAGGAGAGGGCUGGGUUCCACGAACGGGCACUUAUUCGCUGCCUCCCAUUGAAAGAAAAGUAGGACAGAGGGUCGCGUCCCUUUAAGGGACCAUAUCGUAAUCCCCUCAAGACCGUGGCUCUUGGGCGCGACCUUGUUCACCUCUAGCUUCGAGCGUAGUUCAAUUCUACCAAAUUUUGGCGCUGUCGAACACUAUGACGUCAUUUGCUUACAAACAGGGAGAGGUCUAUUGUUGGACAUAAACGAAAACGAUCUAAGCGUGUUGCACUCCUCCGGAGGCAACUUCAGGUCUAAGUCAACUGCUCACGCGCGCUGCACCUGCGUAAUUCUAUUUUGUGUCCGAAGUAACUUGGAAGUAAGUCGUUCUUUUUUUUUAAGUAACUCAGUAACUGCGAGUUACAUUUCAGGCUGAAGAACUUCGUUAUUAACUUAGUUACAUUUUGCACACGGUAACUUAACUUGUAACGAGUUCUUUUUGACGAAUAACUUCUCAAUCUAUGCUGACACACUAACAAAUUUGGGACUUCUCUUUGACAUCGUCGAGACGCGAGACGCCGCUGCCACUUCUCUCCCUUCUCUUCUGGCAACUGCCCGCGGAAGAAUGCUCUUUUGAAACUUUGCCAACCAAUAGCGGAGCGCGCAAUGUCCUUCGACCAAUGGGUAUCAACUAUGAUGCCUGACGGAGUAAUACCACGUGUUUAUGACGUGCAAACAUUUUUUUAGAGCCGCGAAGAGGGGGAGCUAUGGGGCCUGGCGGUGACGUCCAAGCACUUAGUUUUUCUUUUUGUAUUGGCUGCGUUGCGCAUGCGCAGCGGUGACUUCCAGCACGCUUCUCCCAACGAAGUUUCUCGUUUCCCGGCUGCUGGUACGAACUUCGUUGUUUGCCAAGUUACGACUUCGUCGUGUUCACAAUUUCAGGAGCAGGGAACCAACGCCAACACAACAUACAAGAAGUCUACCUACCUGCAGCAGCAUUGUCGCAAGCAACAUGCAGGUGUAGUGCUCAUAGUCACAGUGAGAUAUUACAUACUGCUUUGCACCAAUCUAUGACUACAGAUGGCUUUCCAAUCACGGCUUUCCUAAACAAUGUUCACAAAAGGGCCAGCAAAGAGCAUCAUGCUGCUUAGCUGCCUCCAUAUACAGCCAGGUCAUUACAGAAUUCUUGAUUACAAGUUGCUGAUUGUUUCUGUCCAGACUUAUUGUCAGUAUUUAAUGAACAGUCUGUGGAUAAGUAGGAAAGUCCCAUCCACAAAACAUUCUCUGCUCUCUGCAAGCAGGAGAAAGUGCUCUUCACUAGUGAAGCACAGUUUUGUUUUGCCCAUUGCUCUACAGGAACCUCCUCUUGUUCAGUAUCACUAUAGUGGCCACUGAGUCCAUGGUCUGCUACAGCCUGUGGCCAGUAGUGACCUUUUCCACUGUACAAUAUGGCUUGGACAGUAUUGCACAAAACAUACCAUGCAAUUCUAAAUUAAAGAGUAAAAUUCCUAAUUAAAAAUUCCUAUCUUAAGUAUAACUUUUACUUCAAAAUGGCAGUGUCAAAUUCUACAGUCAAUCCUCAUUUUGUUCCAAUUCCUAAUUCUACAUUGAAGCAUCAUUUGAAAUUGAAAAUUUCAAUUUUAUUUGUUUUUCUAUGUUAUGUUAGUGUGUUGUCUUUUAUGUUUGUUACGUUAUGUUUAUGUAUGUCCAAAGGCCUGCAUAUUUUGCCUGUACUGCAGUUAAAAUGGCACACGUUGUGCCAUGCAGAGACAAACACUGCCCACAGUGCACCUACUUCAAGGCCAAAGACGUGCAAGAUUUCUCUCGCAUUUUCUGCUUAAAGCCUCCAGAUGCAUGCUCACAGGCCUCCCAGCUGUUUGUAAACCCUAAGAAGGUAUUAAGCAUUUCUUGUUCUUGAAUUGUCAGUAUUUGACCUAAAUCUAUGGACAAAUACUCUGAAAAUUCACAUAUUACACUCUAAAUUCCAUUUCUAAAUCAAAUUUCAAAUCCCUAAUUGAAAAUUCUGUGGACAAUUAGAAUAAAGACUGUUCAAGCUGGA
Molecule: RNA transcript, 3560 nt
Organism: Ornithodoros turicata
Lineage: Eukaryota; Metazoa; Arthropoda; Arachnida; Ixodida; Argasidae
Exons: 2
Source: RefSeq, a predicted model, not a curated record